GGAUAAUGUAACUUUAAAGUCAGAGUUUCCCCUUUUCGUUAUCAGUCUCGUCUCGCAAGAAGGUUUACACAGGAAAAUAUCUUCGGGUCUUCCCCCGCACCGCCCCCGAAAAGUAUGGAGUGGAGAGGCUGAUUCCUCCCUAAAUACUUUUUCUUCCCCCUGCGUUUCUCCCACCCUUUUGAUCUCACAGGCACUAACUUCUCCAUUUCCUCUCCUCCUAGGGCUGAUUUCUUGGAUUGCUCAGCACGUGAGAGGCUGGUUUCUGCAGGAGACGCUUAUCCUACUGAGUCUCUCUUACGUUCUGCCUGUAACAGAGAAAGUCCUCGUUCAUGCUUUUGUUACAGCUCACCACUUCCAAGCUUUGUAUCCUCACGGAGAUAAGAUGCCACAUUUAUAUAUUAAAAGGAACAAAUCUCCAUCGAACCCGUGAACGAUUUUAAUUUCUUUAGUCUGUUUUUCCUUCCCUUGUGAGUACCCUUACAAUAAAGAAAACGAACGAGUUUUCCUCUCUAAUGAAUGUCCUAAAUUGCCAAAAGGGCAAUUGCUCGUUGU
This is a long non-coding RNA of Corvus hawaiiensis (hawaiian crow), 552 nucleotides long. RefSeq lists it as uncharacterized. The transcript is spliced from 2 exons. The record is from RefSeq and is a predicted model, not a curated record. NCBI's taxonomy places the organism in Eukaryota, Metazoa, Chordata, Aves, Passeriformes, Corvidae.